GAGAGAGCUGAUGGUUAUGUCCUGUGUUGGUUGUUGAUCAGAGACAGGUUUUUGUGAAGUAUUUUGUAGCCGUUGCUUCUGAGGGGAAGGGACCUUUGGAGUGCUUAGGCAACAUAUACCCGUAGUAUGUACUCUGUCUAUGCACACAAGGUAAGACCUGGGCGGACCACCCCCUGUAUUUUGGAUAUUGCGCCAGCUGGUGCUAGUUAGGUCUAUAACAGUUUGGGUCUGUGUGAUGGACAAAAGACUUGAAAGAGACGCACCUGGGAUAGUGUACAUACUGUACAUGCAUACACACACACACACACACACCAACCUCAGUACAGACUUAAAACAGAUGCUUAGGAUGGACAAAAGACUUGCAUGCACGAACACACACACACACACACACACACACACAUACACUCAAAGAUGCCUGCUUAUCUUGAGAGAUCGGAACAUGAGAGAACGAGUGCCAGAGAGCGACGGAGUGAGGGAGACAGAGAGAGUGAGAGCUUAAAGAGAGAGGGAGGAACUGUGACUGGUAGAAACAUCAUGGGCCUACAUGUCUAUGGUCCCCACUGCCAACCUGCAGCACUAAACAGCAGAUCCUCUCAAGCUCUUUCAGGUCUCUCCAGGGAUGUUCGAUCGUGUUCAAGUCCAUGCUCUGUUUGGGCCACUCAAGGACAUUUAGAGACUUGUCCCGAAGCCUGUGUGCUUGGGGUCGUUAUUAGGGUCGUUAUCCUGUUAGAACGUGAACCUUUGCUCUAGAGCAGGUUUUUAUUAAGUAUCUCUGUCUUUUGCUCCUUUCAUCUUUGCCUUGAUCCUGACUAGUCUCCCAAUCCCUGCCACUGAAGAAUAUCCCACAGCAUGAUGCUGCCACCACCAUGCUUCACCGUAGGGAUGGUGCCAGGUUUCCUCCAGAUGUGACGCUUUGGCAUUCAGGUCAAGGAGUUCAAUCUUGGUUUCAUCAUACCAGAGAAUCUUGUUUCUCAUGGUCUGAGAGUGUUUGUGCCUUUUGGCAAACUGAUGGAGGCCACUGUGUUCUUGAGGACCUUCAAUGCUGCAAAAAUGUUUUGCUACCCUUCCCCAGAUCUGUGCCUCGACACAAUCCUGUCUCAGGCCCUACGGACAAUUCUUUCAAACUCAUGGCUUGGUUUUUGCUCUGACAUGCACUGUCAACUGUGGGACAUGACAUAUCAAUUGAAUUUACCACAGGUAGACUCCAAUCAAAUUGUAGAACCAUCUCAAGAAUGAUCAAUGGAAACAGGAUGCACCUGAUCUCAAUUUCGAAGGGGCUGAAUACUUAUGUAAAUAAGGUAUUUCUGUUUUUGUUUAUUUUUAACACAUUUGCAAACAUUUCUAGAAACCUGUUUUCGCUUUGUCAUUAUGGGGUAUUGUGUAUAGAUUGCUGAGGAUUUUUUUUUUCAUUUAAUCAAUUUAAGAAUACGUCUGUAACGUAACAAAAUGUGAAUAAAGUCAAGGUGUCUAAAUGCUU
Molecule: long non-coding RNA, 1477 nt
Organism: Oncorhynchus keta (chum salmon)
Lineage: Eukaryota; Metazoa; Chordata; Actinopteri; Salmoniformes; Salmonidae
Exons: 5
Source: RefSeq, a predicted model, not a curated record